Non-coding RNA from Potamilus streckersoni, 74 nucleotides. The record is from the annotation of a GenBank genome assembly. NCBI's taxonomy places the organism in Eukaryota, Metazoa, Mollusca, Bivalvia, Unionida, Unionidae.
AGCUCCUGUGGCCUAGUGGUUGGAGCGUCCGCCUUGGAUGUGGGAGGUCGUUGGUUUGAACCCGGACAGAGUCA